GAUGAAGAACGUAGCGAAAUGCGAUAAGUAAUGUGAAUUGCAGAAUUCCGUGAAUCAUCGAAUCUUUGAACGCACAUUGCGCCCCUUGGUAUUCCGAGGGGCAUGGCUGUUCGAGCGUCAUUAUAACCCCUCAAGCUCAGCUUGGUGUUGGGGCCUGCUGCACUGGCAGCCCUUAAAAUCAGUGGCGGCGCCAUCUGGCUCUAAGCGUAGUAAUUCUUCUCGCUAUGGAGUCCUGGUGGAUGCUUGCCAUCAACCCCCAAUUUUUCUAUGGUUGACCUCGGAUCAGGUAGGGAUACCCGCUGAACUUAAGCAUAUCAAUAAGCGGAGGA
Molecule: unclassified non-coding RNA, 329 nt
Filed under: soil metagenome
Description: partial contains 5.8S ribosomal RNA, internal transcribed spacer 2, and large subunit ribosomal RNA
Rfam family: 5.8S ribosomal RNA (bases 1-120)
Source: RNAcentral